GCCAUGGAUAGCUCAGUCGGUAAAGCAUGAGAUUCUUAAUCUCAGGGUCUUGGGUUCAUGCCCCACUUUGGGCG
This is a non-coding RNA of Perognathus longimembris pacificus (Pacific pocket mouse), 74 nucleotides long. The record is from the annotation of a RefSeq genome assembly. NCBI's taxonomy places the organism in Eukaryota, Metazoa, Chordata, Mammalia, Rodentia, Heteromyidae.